UACGGAGGGUGCAAGCGUAAUCCGGAAUUACUGGGUUUAAAGGGUGCGUAGGCGGCUUGAUAAGUCAGGGGUGAAAGGCUAUCGCUUCACGAUAGAAUUGGCUUUGAUACUGUAAAGCUUGAAAGGCGUUGAGGUCAGCAGAAUGUGGCAUGUAGCGGUGAAAUGCAUAGAUAUGCCAUAGAACACCGAUUGCGAAGGCAGCUGGCUGGGCCUACUUUGUCGCUGAGGCACGAAAGCGUGGGGAGCGAACAGG
Molecule: ribosomal RNA, 253 nt
Filed under: uncultured bacterium
Lineage: Bacteria
Description: partial 16S ribosomal RNA
Rfam family: Bacterial small subunit ribosomal RNA
Source: RNAcentral